This 253-nucleotide ribosomal RNA is filed under the name uncultured bacterium. RNAcentral's name for it is "partial 16S ribosomal RNA". It matches the Rfam family "Bacterial small subunit ribosomal RNA", at positions 524 to 776 of the family's 1533-position model. The record is from RNAcentral.
GACGUAGGGGGCCAGCGUUGUUCGGAAUUACUGGGUGUAAAGGGUUCGUAGGCGGUGUGGCAAGUCGGGAGUGAAAUCUCUGGGCUCAACUCAGAGACUGCUUCCGAAACUGCUGUGCUGGAGUGUGGGAGAGGCGCGUGGAAUUGCAGGUGUAGCGGUGAAAUGCGUAGAUAUCUGCAGGAACACCCGUGGCGAAAGCGGCGCGCUGGACCACUACUGACGCUGAGGAACGAAAGCUAGGGGAGCAAACCGG